AGGGCACCACCAGGAGUGGAGCCUGCGGCUUAAUUUGACUCAACACGGGAAAACUCACCCGGCCCGGACACUGGAAGGAUUGACAGAUUGAGAGCUCUUUCUUGAUUCAGUUGGUGGUGGUGCAUGGCCGUUCUUAGUUGGUGGAGUGAUUUGUCUGGUUAAUUCCGAUAACGAACGAGACUCUAGCCUACUAAAUAGAUCGUCGGCUUACAAACGCCGGCGAGACUUCUUAGAGGGACAGGCGGUGAUUCAACCGCACGAAACAGAGCAAUAACAGGUCUGUGAUGCCCUUAGAUGUCCGGGGCCGCACGCGCGCUACACUGAAGUGAUCAGCGUGCUUUUUCAACCUACUCUGUCAAGAGUGGGGAACCCAAUGAACCUUCUUCGUGAUUGGGAUAGGGGAUUGUAAUUGUUCCCCUUGAACGAGGAAUUCCCAGUAAGCGCGAGUCAUAAGCUCGCGUUGAUUACGUCCCUGCCCUUUGUACACACCGCCCGUCGCUACUACCGAUUGAAUGUUUU
Molecule: ribosomal RNA, 519 nt
Filed under: uncultured eukaryote
Lineage: Eukaryota
Description: SSU rRNA
Rfam family: Eukaryotic small subunit ribosomal RNA
Source: RNAcentral